Molecule: transfer RNA, 77 nt
Filed under: Actinomycetota bacterium
Lineage: Bacteria; Bacillati; Actinomycetota
Description: tRNA-Pro
Rfam family: tRNA
About the family: Transfer RNA (tRNA) molecules are approximately 80 nucleotides in length. Their secondary structure includes four short double-helical elements and three loops (D, anti-codon, and T loops).
Source: RNAcentral
CGGGUGGUGGCUCAGUUUGGCAGAGCGCUGCGUUCGGGACGCAGAGGUCGGAGGUUCAAAUCCUCUCCACCCGACCA